Molecule: ribosomal RNA, 657 nt
Filed under: uncultured bacterium
Lineage: Bacteria
Description: bacterial SSU rRNA
Rfam family: Bacterial small subunit ribosomal RNA
Source: RNAcentral
CCGUACAUGGAACUAGCUGUAGGGGGUAUCGACCCCUUCUGUAGCGAAGCUAACGCGUUACCCCUCCCGCCUGUGGAGUACGGUCGCAAGACUAAAACAUAAAGGAAUUGACGGGGACCCGCACAAGCGGUGGAUCAUGUUCUUUAAUUCGAUGAUAAACGAAGAACCUUACCAGGGUUUGACAUCCCGAGAAUUAAUCCGAAAGGAUUGAGUGCUUUAUUGAACUCGGUGACAGAUGUUGCAUGGCCGUCGUCAGCUCGUGUCGUGAGAUGUUUGGUUAAGUCCAUUAACGAGCGCAACCCUUGUGAAUAGUUGUAUUUUUCUAUUCAGACUGCCCCGGCAACGGGGAGGAAGGAGGGGAUGAUGUCAGGUCAGUAUUACUCUUACAUCCUGGGCUAGAAACGUGAUACAAUGGCAAGUACAAUGCGCAGCGAAGCCGUGAGGUGAAGCAAAUCGCAUCAAAGCUUGUCCCAGUUCGGAUAAGAGGCUGAAACUCGCCUCUUUGAAGUCGGAAUCGCUAGUAAUCGCAGGUCAGCAAACUGCGGUGAAUACGUUCCCGGGUCUUGUACACACCGCCCGUCAAGCCAUGAAAGUCACCAACACCCGAAGUCCGAUUCGUCGGCCUAAGGUGGGGGGGAUGAUUGGGGUUAAGUCGUA